Molecule: ribosomal RNA, 468 nt
Filed under: uncultured bacterium
Lineage: Bacteria
Description: partial 16S ribosomal RNA
Rfam family: Bacterial small subunit ribosomal RNA
Source: RNAcentral
GACGAACGCUGGCGGCGUGCUUAACACAUGCAAGUCGAACGGAAAGGCCCGGCUUUGGUUCUGUGCUCGAGUGGCGAACGGGUGAGUAACACGUGAGUAACCUGCCCUUGACUUUGGGAUAACUUCAGGAAACUGGGGCUAAUACCGGAUAGGAGCUCCUGCUGCAUGGUGUGUGUUGGAAAGUUUCGGCGGUUGGGGUAGGACUCGCGGCUUAUCAGCAUUUUGGUGGGGUAGUGGCUUACAAAGGCUUUGACGGUUAGCCGGCCUGAGAGGGUGACAGGCCACAGUGGGACUGAGAAACGGGCCAGACGCCUACGGGAGGAAUCAGUGGGGAAUAUUGCGCAAUGGGCGGAAGCCGUAUGCAGCAACGCCGCGUGCUGGAUGACGGCUUUCGGGGUGUAACCCGUUUUCGCCUGUGACGAAGAGUGAGUGACGGUAAUGGGUAAAGAAGCAACGGCUAACUACGUG